AAGAGAACAUUCCAGAGAGUUUGUGUGGUCCCCAGGACACAGGUCAUGGCCUUUGUAAAAAGACAUGAAGUAUGUCACUGAGUGGGAAGGGAAGAGAGAGAAGCCAUUCCCAGGACAGCAGGCAGAGCAGGAAUCCACAGGGCACUCUGGAAGGAAGCAAACUCUUGGAGUCUAGGCUUUGCAGCAGAAUCAUCUGGAAGGCUUGUCAAAAUACAGGUGUCCGGGCUUCCCCCUAUAAAUGCUGACUCAGGAGGUCUGAGCUGGGGCCUGAGAUUCUGUAUUUGUCGCAGAUGCUAAAACUGCCAAUCAACGAAUCAUGCUUUCAGUAUCAUUGCUCAAUACCUAGAUUACACUUUGAGCAAAGGCACAAAUAUCUCACAUAUGAUCUCGUGUCCAGAAACAACCAGCAGCCCUCCCAGGGAUGUGAUAGCACAGUGUAUCCAGGUGUGAAGAGCCAGCCUCGGGCAGCCUGGCAGUUAGGAGCAUGGACUCCAAAGGUGCCUGGAGAACUCAAGUCAUUCCUGACAUGUUACAGAGUCCUGACAUGUUACAGAGUCCUGACCAACUUGAGCAUGUGAAGAAGUUCACCGUGCUUCAUCCUGCUGAUUUGAUUUUCACAUUUGAUCACCACGGCUUCUCCAGGCAAAUUCUGCUGAUUAUAAUGGGAAUCUGAGGAAAGAAUGGGGAUGACUCCUUGCACCCCCAUCUCCCUCACCAAGAAGAAACAUAAAAAACGCACAUCCUCAUGACUGUCUCCUUUAAAAAUAAAUGACAGGGU
RNAcentral lists this long non-coding RNA (778 nucleotides) under Rhinopithecus bieti (black snub-nosed monkey). Its description in RNAcentral is "lncRNA (ENSRBIG00000046718.1)". Lineage: Eukaryota; Metazoa; Chordata; Mammalia; Primates; Cercopithecidae. The record is from RNAcentral.